This 445-nucleotide ribosomal RNA is filed under the name uncultured bacterium. RNAcentral describes it as "partial 16S ribosomal RNA". It matches the Rfam family "Bacterial small subunit ribosomal RNA", at positions 354 to 796 of the family's 1533-position model. The record is from RNAcentral.
GUAGGGAAUAUUGGGCAAUGGAUGCAAGUCUGACCCAGCCAUCCCGCGUGCCGGAAGAAGGCCCUCAGGGUUGUAAACGGCUUUUGACGGUGAAGAAUCGACAGGAUGCGUCCUGUUUUGACGGUAGCCGUUGAAUAAGCACCGGCUAACUCCGUGCCAGCAGCCGCGGUAAUACGGAGGGUGCGAGCGUUGUCCGGAUUUAUUGGGUUUAAAGGGUGCGGAGGCUGGAAGGUCAGUCAGCGGUGAAAAGCUGUCGCUUAACGAUAGUCUUGCCGCAGAUACUUCCUUUCUUGGAUGAGGAGGAGGCCACUGGAACGGAUGGUGUAGCGGUGAAAUGCAUAGAUAUCAUCCAGAACACCGAUUGCGAAGGCAGGUGGCUGUACCUUAAUCGACGCUGAUGCACGAAAGCAUGGGGAGCAAACAGGAUUAGAAACCCCUGUAGUCC